This 36-nucleotide transfer RNA is filed under the name Tockus rufirostris (Southern red-billed hornbill). RNAcentral describes it as "partial tRNA-Phe". Lineage: Eukaryota; Metazoa; Chordata; Aves; Bucerotiformes; Bucerotidae. The record is from RNAcentral.
GUUCCCAUAGCUUACACCUCCAAGCAUGGCCUGAAG